GUCCUUGGUGGAGUUGGUUGCAAUGGUGUUAUUGCUGCUCGAAUUAUUCAUUUCCAAUUUCUGCCUGUCUUUCUCCAAAUCGGCCUCCAAAUCGAUGAUCAGAUUUCCCACUCCAAUUUCCCAGUCAUCGCCACUGUCGCUGGAAAAAACUCUGCAACCUUCUUGAGGCCACGAGAACGCGGAGACCACUCACGAGCAUGAGGAAGAGUUAUGAAGACCUCCUACGACCUUGUGGUGACCAUGCGGCAAGUAUGAGUCAAGGGCAAACUCGGCAGAGGUCGCCAAUUAAGUCGUCUGGACUAAUUGGAAUGACUCUCGGAAAACUGCACCACAGCAGUGAGCAGCAAUGAUUUUUAGGAACGUUCAGCUGCAUGAAGGCCAACUCUGAAUCUUUGCACAGAGCUCCUGCAAGGCAAACAUCACCUCUGGCAGUGUACGAGCCGUUAAAAAAUAAUGAACAGAAAAUCACAGGAUGCUGGACUUUUACCCCCUGAAAAUGUACUCACAUUCAUUAUCCCAUGUCAGGAACUCCUAAAGAGAAAGUUCAUCUAUCCAUGUGUGUAGGGUCCUGCGUGAGGUAACCACUGAUGAGGUGUUUGUGCAACCAAAACCAGAGUCUUCCAACCUCUGAAAACGUUGUGCUGCAGAAUAAAUUUAGGGUGUUCAUUGCUCGUUAGCUCUUCAAUUGUGGUGAUUCGUGAAUGAGGAGUGUUGUUGGUUGAUUGCGAUGGAAGCCUUACUCGUAAGGGCAGAUUUCCAACAUCUACAUAUGUAGUUCAGGAUCAAGGUUCUCAUAUUGUCAUUCUGAUUGGUUUAUAUUCCCGUCGUGUAAGCACACAGUGUAAAUAUCCAUAUUCGUACUGCAGUGCACUGCUGAGGAAAUAAUGCAUUGGCCAAUGUGAUAUCUCUCGGUGAAACAUUACACCAAGCUCCUCUCUGCUCCCUCAGAUGUGUGUAAAACAGUCACAGAGCACUCGUCUGAGGAAGACCGAAGGUUUUUAUCCUGGCCAAUAUUUAUCAUUCAGACUCAUUAUAUGAAGCAACGGAUUAUCUGCCAAUUAUUUAUUGCUGAUUAUGGGAGCUCAUAGUGAAGAAUAUCAGCUGCUAUGUUUCUUAUAUUACAGCACUAAUUAAGCAUCAGUGGGACUUAAUUUGCUCAAAAUUGUUUUAUGAUUUCCUGAGAUUUUGAUAGGUGCUCUAUGAAUUCCAUCCAUUUAAAUUUGUAGAAAUCGAUUUGCUUUGACAAGGUUUUCAGGGGAAGGUUACCUGUUUAUUUAAUUGUAUAGACGUUAGUGGGGGCUGUGCAGAGAUUUAUUCUGGGGACUCUGCAGCAGCCUGAGGCUCGCCUGGAUUGGGCGCUGCUCCAGGAGACCGAGUACGUGGCCUGGAACUUUGAAAAAUGGCAAAAAUCUGGUGACUCUUGUUUGUGGUCUCAGUAGACUAUUUGCACUUUGUACUGGUUGGGGAUUGUGCUUAGGUACAGUAAUAACUUACUGAACUGUAUGCAAUAAAAUAAUUUCACUGUAUGUUUCUAUGUGUAAUGAUUAAAGAAAUAUUGAGCAUUUCUUGCCAAGUCUGGUUGACAUAUUUUAAGACAAAAUGAGUAGGAAGGAACUGCAGAUGGUGAUUUACACCAAAGAUAGACACAAAAUGCUGGAGUAACUCAGUAGGACAGGCAGCAUCUUUGGGGAGAAGGAAUGGUUGAUGUUUUGGGUUGAUACCCUUCUUCAGUCUAAGAGAACUGUUUUCACCAUGUCAUUCAAUCAACUAGCCCCCAACCCAUAUCUCUUAUUUUUAUGAUGAUUUAAACGUGUUAAUGGAAAGGAGAAAACAAUUUUAAUAGUGGCUCCUUGGUUUUCCCAUCCAUUUGAUUAUACUAGUGUUAGUAUUGGCUAAAUUAAAGACACCAUAAAAUGGAGGAUCCCAGAAUUCCUUAACCCUUAUCAGCUGAGCUUUACAGGCUUUGAUUGGCGCCAGUCAGAUUAGGCUCAGACUGGUAUGCAAAAGCAUUGUAAAUAGUAUAAAUAAUGUUACAAGGUGGUCAUCCUGUUAAUUGAUGAUUGGUUGAACUGUUGAGCCUUGGAGAAACUGUUUGAAUCUCAGGGCACAUGUUUCAAUGUUUGUUCUUGUUUGCUUCCUUCUAGAGGUUUCUUUCUUAUACAAUGUAUUAGCCACUGUAUUAUUGGGUUAGGGAAAUGUCUGUCAUGUAUGGGGUUAAUCGAUGUUUGUAAUUGGAUUGUAAAGAGACCACCCCCAUGUGGUUCAGCCCCUCGGGGUCCGGGGACCUAUAAAUGUCCGCUGCCACGAGGUCCUGCGUCGAUCGUCUGGGAGAGCUCUUAGGACUGCGUGACCUUCUGUUUGAGCGAGGCCUAGAGGGCUUGGUCAGGCAGAUAUGAGGAUCAAACCCACGGUGGUUAGGUACAGUAGUGGGAACUGUAAUUGUGUUUUGUCAAAAUAAAGUUUAGAUGCUCAAAUGCUUGACUCAGUGAUUUUUGACUGAAACUAGACUGGGGGGAAGCUUAGAACGAUCAAUUUACAUUGGGGGCUCAUCCGGGAUCUCAACAGACCCCCAAAUACAAGUUUAUGAUCAAGGGUGUUGAGCUGUUUCGAUCGCGAGUGCAGAAAUCUGGCCCACUGUGUGGUUUUCGCAUUGGUUUUCGGCACUUCGUUAGUCGGAGCGGAUCGAUCAUUGAGAAAGGGUCCAAUCGAGAAACAUUCUAGCAAGCACGGGGGGGUUAGCACUCCUUUGGGUUAGGGGCCCGUAAAACAGGGCGAGGAGUAGCCCAAAACGUGGUUGUAGUUGGCAGACUGCAGCUGCUUUAACGAGAGCCUGACUCAUAUCAUUGGGCGAGGGGUGGCCCAAGAUUCAGAUUUGGUAUCCAAUUGGUGGGGUAUUGAAACAUAGGUCUGACCUAUGUAUUGACCUAUAUUUGCCGGUAGCGCUGAUUGGAAAAGCGCAUUCUGAAAAUCGGCAUCGACGACUGCCAGCACGAAGAGGCUAGGCACUGAACCCUCAGUGCCCAGCAGAGAGGGUUAUCUGCGUGAAGGAGUCUGAAUCCCUCCCUGAAGUGACAGACGAGGAACCUCGUAAAAGGUACUGGUGGAUGGAGUAUAAUUUGGCUGAGGAUGCUCUGGUCCAUUUGAAACUUUUUCAUUGGGCAAUUCAGUUUAAUCAGCGAGCCCGCAUAUGUGGAGAGAUACGCACCAAAACUAGGAGUUCGAGAACGAGUCUAAAUUUGCAGAAUCAAAUUUCCAAAUACAGAAUUUCACAUUGAAGUUCUGCCUGAAAGGUAGAAUUCGAAUUCUUGUGGAUAAAACAUUCGGAGUUUGUGCAUGUCCAUGAUCGAUUCCAAAUAGCGGUUGAUCAAAAGUGAAUAGUAAUCCUCUGGUCACUUGUUGAUUAGCGCCUGAUAGCGAAGAAUACCUGAGAGACGGGAACCUGGUUUACUUGGUGAAAAGUAAUCCGAAUGUGAAGGGUACCCCUAAUUCUGUAGAACUUAAAGAGGAGGGAUAGCGGU
Long non-coding RNA from Leucoraja erinaceus (little skate), 3518 nucleotides. RefSeq lists it as uncharacterized. The record is from RefSeq and is a predicted model, not a curated record. The transcript has 3 exons. NCBI's taxonomy places the organism in Eukaryota, Metazoa, Chordata, Chondrichthyes, Rajiformes, Rajidae.